UACGUAGGGGGCUAGCGUUGUCCGGAAUCAUUGGGCGUAAAGCGCGCGUAGGCGGCCCGGUAAGUCCGCUGUGAAAGUCAAAGGCUCAACCUUUGAAUGUCAGCGGAUACUGCCAGGCUAGAGUCCGGAAGAGGCGAGUGGAACUCCUGGUGUAGCGGUGGAAUGCGCAGAUAUCAGGAAGAACACCAACGGCGAAGGCAGCUCGCUGGGACGGAACUGACGCUGAGGCGCGAAAGCGUGGGGAGCGAACAGG
This 253-nucleotide ribosomal RNA is filed under the name uncultured bacterium. RNAcentral describes it as "partial 16S ribosomal RNA". It matches the Rfam family "Bacterial small subunit ribosomal RNA", at positions 524 to 776 of the family's 1533-position model. The record is from RNAcentral.